AGUGUGUUUUGGACCUUAGCAACAGUUCCUGGCCUGAUUCCCCCCCCCCCCCCAGCUGACAAAAGUGUCAUUCACAUGUGCUCCUAUCUUAAGCAGAAUGGAUCUCCUUUUCUGCAUACAGCUGAUGUCAAGUAAGUUGGGGAGAGGAAGUUACGAUUAAGGAAAUAGUGUCACACUUGUGAAUAAGUAGUGAUUUUGAGUAUGAGACAGUUAUAGAUGAUUAAAUCUAGGUAACUGUUCUAGGAAACUGUUCUAGCAUACUAGAACUAGGGUUACCAAGAACUAGGUCAAUCGAGGUAACUGUUACUUAACAAGGUAACUGAUACAGAAUACCAGACAUUAUUUCUAAAUAUGCCUCUAGAUACAAAAAUAAGUACAGGUUGAGUCUCCCUUGUCCAGAAUUCUAAAAUCCAUAAAAUCCCAAAAACCAAUAGUUCAAUGUACAGAAGGUUUGUUUCAUGCACAAAUAUUGUGUAUAAAGUUACCUUCUGUCUGUGUGUAUAAAGUGUAUAUGAAAUAUAAAUGAAUUUCAUGUGUAGACUUGGUUCCCACCUCCAAGAUAUUUCAUUAUGUAUAUACAAAUAUUCCAAAAUCUAAAAAACUCCAAAAUUCCAAACACUUCUGGUCCUAAGCAUUUCAGGUAAGAGAUACAAAUAUUAUGCAAAUCAGUGCCCUUUUUUGGUGCUUUGUUUACAAACCCUAUAUGGGAAUGCUGUCAAAAAGCAAAGCUUGAGCUCAAGGGAUUUGAAAACUGCUUCACAUACUUUUGGAUCCAGGGGGUUAGCAAUGCCAAGACACAUCUGGUGAACUGGUGUUUUUUUGGUAUUGCUUCUGUGAUAUAAUUGUACGUACAGUAGUUACCAUUGAAAAGUAUCUGUCAGUAUAGCACAGGUGUACUGGAUUACCCAAUGGCCCUAAAAUAUACUUUUCUGUCCCAGAAAUGAACCCUCAAACCUGAAUCUUGGGGGGGCCAUAGGCUGAAUGCUGGGAAUCAUUAUGUUCCUGUGAAAACAACAUUACAUCUCCCCUCAGUGGUGGUUUCCUAGUUUCCCACAUCAAAAAGCUUCACAUGUCUAGCAACUCUUUAAAUGUUUAUUUCUGACACAAGGAUUUUUUUAAAAAAAAGUUUGUGUAUGUAUGUGUGUAAUUUAAUAAUACAAUUUAAUCUACAGGUGAUCGUAACACCUUCAAAACCAUUUAACUUCUCUUUAAUGGAACUUCUUCCAGGUCCAUUGUUGCCAGCAGAUCCUACUGUGUGUUAAAACAAGUAGGACCAAGGGAAGAAAAGAAUGGUGAACAUUUUGUGCCAUGCUGGAGUUAAAAACAUAAAAGGCAGCUGUGAUGUGCCACAAUGAAAUUACGUCUUUGGCCUGACCAUUUUCUGAUCACCACCACAACCACCACCACCAUCACCUCAUCUUUCUCUUUUGAUGAUGAUUAUGAUGGGAACCAUCAAAUAUGAUAAGAAAAGUGGAGCCUGCUGAAAGAAAGUCAUCCUUGGGUGCAUUUUGGAAGAAGUCACCAGGGAUUCAAGGUGGCACAUCAACACAGCUGAAAUAUGGAUCAACACAGCAGAAAUGGUCACUGGUGGCUCCUAUAUCAUUGGUGCAUUUUGUCUUGCUAAUAAAACUUAAAUAUUGUUUUCACGUCCUGGAGUACCCACAUGGCCAAAAUUUCCCUCCAGUACCACCUGAACUGAAAACAGCCACAUCUUGACAAAAUGCAGGCUUGUGACUAACAUCACCAUAUUUUUUUAAUCUCCUGUAUAAUUUUUAUUGUCUUUGCCUGAUUAAGAAGCCAGUGGAAUUUUGAAAGCUUGCAA
Sceloporus undulatus (fence lizard) is the source of this 1822-nucleotide long non-coding RNA. RefSeq lists it as uncharacterized. The transcript is spliced from 3 exons. The record is from RefSeq and is a predicted model, not a curated record. Lineage: Eukaryota; Metazoa; Chordata; Lepidosauria; Squamata; Phrynosomatidae.